AUUCAUCUAGCAUCUGUAAAUUAAAAUAAAACAAUAAGAUAAUAAAGAUAUCAAAACAAUACAAUUAAACCUAACCUUUACACAAGAAAUUUUUCAAAGUCAACCGACAUUCAUUUACGAUAUGUAAAUUAUAAAAAAAAAUAUAAUAGUAACCAUAAAACUUCGAUUUUGAUCCAACUAAUUUUUAUCUGGACGAAAAUUUUGACCCUAAAGAAUGAUUUUGAAUGAAAAUAAAGAAGAUAUAUAUAUAUACACACA
RNAcentral lists this long non-coding RNA (258 nucleotides) under Capsicum annuum. RNAcentral describes it as "long non-coding RNA (CANN_LNC006755)". Lineage: Eukaryota; Viridiplantae; Streptophyta; Magnoliopsida; Solanales; Solanaceae. The record is from RNAcentral.